UCCGAGUUGACCCCGGCAGUCUCCCAUGAGUCCCCGGCAUAACCCGCUGGCAACAUGGAACGAGGGUUGCGCUCGUUGCGGGACUUAACCCAACAUCUCACGACACGAGCUGACGACAGCCAUGCAGCACCUGUGCACGGACUCCGAAGAGGGCCCCCUGUUUCCAAGGGGUUUCCCGUACAUGUCAAGCCCUGGUAAGGUUCUUCGCGUUGCAUCGAAUUAAGCCACAUGCUCCACCGCUUGUGCGGGCCCCCGCCAAUUCCUUUGAGUUUCAACCUUGCGGCCGUAGUCCCCAGGCGGUUCACUUAAUGCGUUAGCUGCGGCACCGAGGGGAACCCCCCAACACCUAGUGAACAUCGUUUACGGCUAGGACUAC
This 376-nucleotide unclassified non-coding RNA is filed under the name uncultured bacterium. RNAcentral describes it as "contains 16S-23S intergenic spacer region". The record is from RNAcentral.